Molecule: transfer RNA, 69 nt
Filed under: Anguilla anguilla (European eel)
Lineage: Eukaryota; Metazoa; Chordata; Actinopteri; Anguilliformes; Anguillidae
Rfam family: tRNA
About the family: Transfer RNA (tRNA) molecules are approximately 80 nucleotides in length.
Source: Rfam by way of RNAcentral
UCCUCGUUAGUAUAGUGGUCAGUAUCCCCGCCUGUCACGCGAGACCGGGGUUCAAUUCCCGACGGGGAG